CCUACGGGAGGCAGCAGUGGGGAAUUUUGGACAAUGGGCGAAAGCCUGAUCCAGCAAUGCCGCGUGAGUGAAGAAGGCCUUCGGGUUGUAAAGCUCUUUUGUCAGGGAAGAAACGGUGAGGGCUAAUAUCCCUUGCUAAUGACGGUACCUGAAGAAUAAGCACCGGCUAACUACGUGCCAGCAGCCGCGGUAAUACGUAGGGUGCAAGCGUUAAUCGGAAUUACUGGGCGUAAAGCGUGCGCAGGCGGUUUUGUAAGUCUGUCGUGAAAUCCCCGGGCUCAACCUGGGAAUUGCGAUGGAGACUGCAAGGCUAGAAUCUGGCAGAGGGGGGUAGAAUUCCACGUGUAGCAGUGAAAUGCGUAGAGAUGUGGAGGAGCACCGAUGGCGAAGGCAGCCCCCUGGGUCAAGAUUGACGCUCAUGCACGAAAGCGUGGGGAGCAAACAGGAUUAGAUACCCUGGUAGUCCACGCCCUAAACGAUGUCUACUAGUUGUCGGGUUUUAAUUAACUUGGUAACGCAGCUAACGCGUGAAGUAGACCGCCUGGGGAGUACGGUCGCAAGAUUAAAACUUAAGGAAUUGACGG
This 584-nucleotide ribosomal RNA is filed under the name uncultured bacterium. RNAcentral describes it as "bacterial SSU rRNA". It matches the Rfam family "Bacterial small subunit ribosomal RNA", at positions 338 to 916 of the family's 1533-position model. The record is from RNAcentral.